This 1580-nucleotide ribosomal RNA is filed under the name human gut metagenome. RNAcentral's name for it is "bacterial LSU rRNA". It matches the Rfam family "Bacterial large subunit ribosomal RNA", at positions 528 to 1977 of the family's 2925-position model. The record is from RNAcentral.
GGCGAGGGGAGUGAAAAAGAACCUGAAACCGUGUACGUACAAGCAGUAGGAGCCCCACCACCAAAGCGUUUCGCUUUGCGUGGUGCGCAAAAUGCGUAACGACAGCAUGAUGGACGGUUAACGGAGCGUCAGCGACGUUCAACGUCAAAAAUCAGGCAGUGGAGCGUUUUGGGGUGGGGUGACUGCGUACCUUUUGUAUAAUGGGUCAGCGACUUAUAUUCUGUAGCAAGGUUAACCGUAUAGGGGAGCCGCAGGGAAACCGAGUCUUAACUGGGCGUUAAGUUGCAGGGUAUAGACCCGAAACCCGGUGAUCUAGCCAUGGGCAGGUUGAAGGUUGGGUAACACUAACUGGAGGACCGAACCGACUAAUGUUGAAAAAUUAGCGGAUGACUUGUGGCUGGGGGUGAAAGGCCAAUCAAACCGGGAGAUAGCUGGUUCUCCCCGAAAGCUAUUUAGGUAGCGCCUCGUGAAUUCAUCUUCGGGGGUAGAGCACUGUUUCGGCUAGGGGGUCAUCCCGACUUACCAACCCGAUGCAAACUACGAAUACCGAAGAAUGUUAUCACGGGAGACACACGGCGGGUGCUAACGUCCGUCGUGAAGAGGGAAACAACCCAGACCGCCAGCUAAGGUCCCAAAGUCAUGGUUAAGUGGGAAACGAUGUGGGAAGGCCCAGACAGCCAGGAUGUUGGCUUAGAAGCAGCCAUCAUUUAAAGAAAGCGUAAUAGCUCACUGGUCGAGUCGGCCUGCGCGGAAGAUGUAACGGGGCUAAACCAUGCACCGAAGCUGCGGCAGCGACACUAUGUGUUGUUGGGUAGGGGAGCGUUCUGUAAGCCGUUGAAGGUGGCCUGUGAGGGUUGCUGGAGGUAUCAGAAGUGCGAAUGCUGACAUAAGUAACGAUAAUGCGGGUGAAAAACCCGCACGCCGGAAGACCAAGGGUUCCUGUCCAACGUUAAUCGGGGCAGGGUGAGUCGACCCCUAAGGCGAGGCCGAAAGGCGUAGUCGAUGGGAAACAGGUUAAUAUUCCUGUACUUGGUGUUACUGCGAAGGGGGGACGGAGAAGGCUAUGUUGGCCGGGCGACGGUUGUCCCGGUUUAAGCAUGUAGGCGGAUGUUCCAGGUAAAUCCGGAGCGUCACUAACGCUGAGGUGUGAUGACGAGGCACUACGGUGCUGAAGUGACAAAUGCCCUGCUUCCAGGAAAAGCCUCUAAGCAUCAGGUAACAUCAAAUCGUACCCCAAACCGACACAGGUGGUCAGGUAGAGAAUACCAAGGCGCUUGAGAGAACUCGGGUGAAGGAACUAGGCAAAAUGGUGCCGUAACUUCGGGAGAAGGCACGCUGAUGGUAGGUGAAGUGACUUGCUCAUGGAGCUGAAAUCAGUCGAAGAUACCAGCUGGCUGCAACUGUUUAUUAAAAACACAGCACUGUGCAAACACGAAAGUGGACGUAUACGGUGUGACGCCUGCCCGGUGCCGGAAGGUUAAUUGAUGGGGUUAUCCUCGCGGAGAAGCUCUUGAUCGAAGCCCCGGUAAACGGCGGCCGUAACUAUAACGGUCCUAAGGUAGCGAAAUUCCUUGUCGGGU